CUACGGGAGGCUGCAGUAGGGAAUAUUGCACCAUGGGCGAAAGCCUGAUGCAGCAACGCCGCGUGAGCGAUGAAGGCCCUCGGGUCGUAAAGCUCUUUUCAAGGGGAAGAGGAAGGACGGUACCCUUGGAAUAAGUCUCGGCUAACUACGUGCCAGCAGCCGCGGUAAAACGUAGGAGGCGAGCGUUAUCCGGAUUUACUGGGCGUAAAGCGCGUGUAGGCGGUACAGCAAGUUGGAUGUGAAAGCUCCUGGCUUAACUGGGAGAGGUCGUUCAAAACUGCUGAACUAGAGUACGGUAGAGGAAAAUGGAAUUCCGGGUGUAGUGGUGAAAUGCGUAGAUAUCCGGAGGAACACCAGAGGCGAAAGCGAUUUUCUGGACCGAAACUGACGCUCAGACGCGAAAGCUAGGGUAGCAAACGGGAUUAGAUACCCUUGUAGUC
This 440-nucleotide ribosomal RNA is filed under the name uncultured bacterium. RNAcentral's name for it is "partial 16S ribosomal RNA". It matches the Rfam family "Bacterial small subunit ribosomal RNA", at positions 339 to 795 of the family's 1533-position model. The record is from RNAcentral.